Molecule: ribosomal RNA, 349 nt
Filed under: uncultured bacterium
Lineage: Bacteria
Description: partial 16S ribosomal RNA
Rfam family: Bacterial small subunit ribosomal RNA
Source: RNAcentral
CCUACGGGGGGCAGCAGUGAGGAAUAUUGGUCAAUGGGCGGAAGCCUGAACCAGCCAAGUAGCGUGCAGGAUGACGGCCCUACGGGGUGUAAACUGCUUUUAUACGGGAAUAACGCGCCGUAAGUGUAGGGCUUUGCAUGUACCGUAUGAAUAAGGACAGGCGAAUUCCGUGCCAGCAGCCGCGGUAAUACGGAAGGUCCGGGCGUUAUCCGGAUUGAUUGGGUUUCAAGGGAGCGUAGGCCGCAUGUGAAGCGUGCUGUGAAAUGUACGGGCUCAACCCGGGCCUUGCAGCGCGAACUGGCGUGCUUGCGUCCGCGGCACGCAGGCGGACUUCGUCUUGUAGCGGUGA